This 374-nucleotide long non-coding RNA is filed under the name Brassica napus (rape). RNAcentral's name for it is "long non-coding RNA (BNAP_LNC026881)". The record is from RNAcentral. Lineage: Eukaryota; Viridiplantae; Streptophyta; Magnoliopsida; Brassicales; Brassicaceae.
CGCGUCCGACGAUCAAGGCGUUCCCGAUCAAGCAACAAAAGACGUCCGCGACCCGAUAGAAGCAACUCGAUCCAUUCCAGCUCGUGUCCCGUUCGUGUGCAGCUCGCGGCUCAACUCAUUUGGUGGUCCGAUUCAACAAUCAUCUAAAGUUAAAAGGUAAUUCAAAACCUAAGAACCCAUAAUCGAACAUGGAUUGAUUGAUAAAGAAUGAAAUCCUAAAACCCUAAUCUUUAUGAAUCAAAACCAUAGGGUAAUAGAUCAAAAAUCCUAAUUGAGUAAAUCGAAGCUCUAAAAGUUCGAUACCCCAAACUCUAAAUCAUGUUCCUAUAUGAUUAAAACCCCAAAUCGAUUUUUACAAGUUAAAACCCGAUAAA